AGCAGCCGCGGUAAUUCCAGCUCCAAUAGCGUAUAUUAAAGUUGUUGCAGUUAAAAAGCUCGUAGUUGAAUUUCGGGAUCAAUUAAUCGGUCGUGCCUCUGGUACGCACUGGUUUUAUUGGUUUCUCCCUUCUGACGAACCAGGAUGUCAUUAAUUUGGUGUCUUGGAGAAUCAGGACUGUUACUUUGAAAAAAUUAGAGUGUUUAAAGCAGGCUAACGCUUGAAUACAUUAGCAUGGAAUAAUGAAAUAGGACGUUUGAUCCUAUUUUGUUGGUUUCUAGGAUCGACGUAAUGAUUAAUAGGGAUAGUUGGGGGCAUUAGUAUUCAAUUGUCAGAGGUGAAAUUCUUGGAUUUAUUGAAGACUAACUACUGCGAAAGCAUUUGCCAAGGAUGUUUUCAUUAAUCAAGAACGAAAGUUAGGGGAUCGAAGACGAUCAGAUACCGUCGUAGUCUUAACCAUAAACUAUGCCGACUAGGGAUCGGAUGAUGUUAAUUUUUUAAUGACUCGUUUGGCACCUUA
RNAcentral lists this unclassified non-coding RNA (520 nucleotides) under uncultured Archaeospora. Its description in RNAcentral is "SSU rRNA". It matches the Rfam family "Eukaryotic small subunit ribosomal RNA", at positions 569 to 1090 of the family's 1831-position model. Lineage: Eukaryota; Fungi; Glomeromycota; Glomeromycetes; Archaeosporales; Archaeosporaceae. The record is from RNAcentral.